CAGCCAUCAUUCAAAGCUCAAGAUAGGGACCCACGUGGGCUGUGCCUCCUUCAUUUCUGCUAUCCAACAUCAGAACAGUAUAUGAAUAUGGCAAAUGCUGUUUUGACAUCAUUUCCUGCCAUCCUGAGAAACAGUGAUCUCGAGGAGCAUGAAUUGCAGCUGCAAUGGAAAUUGUGCAUUCAGCGCAAGUUUCAGAAUUCAAGGAAGAGGCAGGAUUCCUCAGUGACUGAGGUGACAUCAAGGAAAAGGAAGAUCCCUUGCAUAGCGCCAAAAGAGACUACGUGUCCACUGAUGUAUGGAGUAAAGGCUUACCUUCCACCAAGGCCCCAUUCAGAAGAUGAUGAGUCAUUAGAGAGACAUAGACAGUGGCUUACUCUACAUUGGAUGAAGAAAGAUCCCGAGUUAGAUAAGAUAAUCAAGGAGUUCCUGAGAUUAGAACCACAUGCGGAUGAACCAGACCCAAGAGUAGCAGUUUUGAAAGGGCUGGAGAAAUAUAGGCUCCCAAUAAUUGCCAUUCUCAAAAAAAGAAAAGCAGUUCCUCUGUAUAUGGAAACCUUACUUGAACUCUAUGACCAUGAUGAAAGUCAAUAUGCUUGCUUAGUUAUAUUGGGGUUACUUCACCUGCUUGGAGAAAGGAAAGACUCCAUUUUUACUAAGGUUAAAUUUCAGUACCUUUGAUUUUAGAGUGAUGUGUACGAGUAUAUAUUGAAAUUUCUGAAUAUAUUAUCACCUUAAGAUAUACAUCUACAUAUAAAUUUUAUUUUAAUGUCAAAAUGUUAUUAAUGUUUACACUAUUAUUUCUUCCUUAAGGUACCAGAAAAAGAACUAAGAACAGGGCAGUCUAGUGUGUCCAUUCAACAUGUUGGGGACAUACAUGUCAGACAGAUUUUGUGUAUUAUUUGAUGGUGCACCUGUAGCUGAACCAACAUGUAUUUCUAUGGCUGUAGUCUCAUUGGUAGCAGGGCUUUAUGUGUUUAAUAUUGAACACCCAAAAAAUUGUGAACAUUUCCUCCAUUUCACAACAUCCCAUCUCUUAGGUAUCAAGUAUGACAAAGGUAACACUUCAAAAACAAGAUCUCUACUUAUAAAACUCAAUGAAGUAAAGACAGAAUUGAGCUACAAAAAUGCAUAAAUCUGCUUCCAGAUAUAUUAAACUCCACACAUAAUGCCUCUCUCUCUCUCUCU
This is a long non-coding RNA of Scylla paramamosain (green mud crab), 1185 nucleotides long. RefSeq lists it as uncharacterized. The transcript is spliced from 4 exons. The record is from RefSeq and is a predicted model, not a curated record. NCBI's taxonomy places the organism in Eukaryota, Metazoa, Arthropoda, Malacostraca, Decapoda, Portunidae.